Molecule: ribosomal RNA, 822 nt
Filed under: uncultured bacterium
Lineage: Bacteria
Description: bacterial SSU rRNA
Rfam family: Bacterial small subunit ribosomal RNA
Source: RNAcentral
AGAGUUUGAUCCUGGCUCAGAAACGAACGCUGGCGGCGUGGCUAAGACAUGCAAGUCGUACGAUAUGUUGUAGCAAUAUGACAUAUAGUGGCGGACGGGUGAGUAAUGAAUAGGUAACGUACCCCGGGGACAGGGAUAGCGUCGGGCGAAAGCCCUUUGCGAAAGUGACGGUAAUACCUGGUGAAGUCUUUGGAUGGCAUCAUUUGAAGACCAUAGGGUGGGGAUCUUCGGACCUACCGGCCUGGGAGCGGCCUAUUUCCUAUCAGCUAGUUGGUGAGGUAACGGCUCACCAAGGCAACGACGGGUAGCCGGACUGAGAGGUUGUUCGGCCACAUCGGGACUGAGACACUGCCCGGACAUCUACGGAUGGCUGCAGUAACGAAUAAUCCGCAAUGGGCGAAAGCCUGACGGUGCGACGCCGCGUGGAGGAUGAAUUCCUUCGGGAUGUAAACUCCUUUUAGGGAGAUGAAAGUGACGCGCGCUAAUACCGCGCUAGCUGAUCUAUCCCAGAAAAAGCCUCGGCUAAACCCGUGCCAGCAGCCGCGGUAAUACGGGUGAGGCAAGCGUUGUUCGGAAUCAUUGGGCUUAAAGCGCGUGUAGGCGGCGUCGUAAGUACUUUGUGAAAUCCCUUCUCUCAAUGGAGGAAUUGCUUGGUAUACUGCGGUGCUUGAGGCAGGUAGGGGUGCUUGGAACUCUAGGUGGAGCGGUGAAAUGCGUAGAUAUCUAGAGGAACGCCAGUGGCGAAAGCGGAGCACUGGGCCUGUCCUGACGCUGAGACGCGAAAGCGUAGGUAGCAAACGGGAUUAGAUACCCUCGUAGUCC